Molecule: ribosomal RNA, 402 nt
Filed under: uncultured Choreotrichida
Lineage: Eukaryota; Ciliophora; Spirotrichea
Description: partial small subunit ribosomal RNA
Rfam family: Eukaryotic small subunit ribosomal RNA
Source: RNAcentral
GCUUGUCUCAAAGAUUAAGCCAUGCAUGUCUAAGUAUAAGCACCCUUAUACAGCGAAACUGCGUACAGCUCAUUAUAUCAGCAAUUAUUUAUUUGAAGGUCACCUAUUACAUGGAUAACCGUGGUAAUUCUAGAGCUAAUACAUGCUGGUGUGCCUGACUUUUCGGAAGGGCGGUAUUUAUUAGAUAACGAACCAAUAUUCCUCUGGUCUAUUGUGGUGAAUCAUAAUAACUGAUCGAAUCGCAAAGCCUUUGGCUGCGAUAUGUCAUUCAAGUUUCUGCCCCAUCAGCUUUCGAUGGUAGUGUAUUGGACUACCAUGGCUUUUACGGGUAACGGAGAAUUAGGGUUCGAUUCCGGAGAGGGAGCCUGAGAAACGGCUACCACAUCUAAGGAAGGCAGCAGG